RNAcentral lists this non-coding RNA (29 nucleotides) under Rattus norvegicus (Norway rat). The record is from RNAcentral. Lineage: Eukaryota; Metazoa; Chordata; Mammalia; Rodentia; Muridae.
UUGCAUGGCAUACAAUCUUAGCUACGUUU